AUGUUCGAGUAUCUAAAUGUUGUCAGCAAGAUGUUUGAUAGUGAGGCUGAAGGCUAUGAAUUCUACAACAAAUAUGCUCUUGAAAAAGGUUUUAGUGUGAGGAAAAGCUACGUUGAGUGGGAUGGAUCCAACAAAUACAUAAUUUUAAGGAAAAUUGUGUGUAGUCGUCAAGGGUUUCGCGAAGAGAAGCACAUGAAAAGAAAGAUGGAAGAUAGAAAGAGGAGGCCACAAAGUUUAACUCGUGUUGGGUGUAAUGCUAAAUUGGUCAUUACGAGACAGGAGGAAACCGGUCGGUGGUUUGUCAAGGAUUUCAUCGAUGAGCACAGCCAUCCUCUAGCCCCACGGGAUCUUUCUUGUUUGCUGCGUUCGCACAGACGAAUUAGCGAUGAGCAGAAAGCGGACAUUGCGGACAUGGAAAAAUGUGGGAUCCGCAAAUAUCGUAUUAUGGAUAUUUUGUGCUUUCAAUACAGUGGAUUUGGUAAGGUUGGAUGCAUAAAGAGGGACAUUUAUAAUUUCUGCCAUGCUAAUAAGCAGGAGACAAUCAGUGCCGGUGAUGCUAAUACGGUGAUCAUGCACAUGAUGGCGAGGCGAGAGCGAGAUGUGGAUUUUUUCUUCAAGUACUUGGUAGACGAGCAUGGCCAUCUGAAGGGACUGUUCUGGGCUGAUAGUCAAUCGCGACUUGACUACGAGGCUUUCGGAGACGUCAUUGUUUUCGAUAGCACAUACAGAACCAACAAAUACAAUCUGCCAUUCGUGCCGUUUGUCGGGUUGAAUCACCACCGGAGCACUGUCAUUUUUGGCUGUGGUAUAAUUUCUCAUGAAACAAGCCAGGCAUACGAGUGGAUGUUGCGGACCUUUUCUGAUUGCAUGGCACAGAAGCAUCUGAUAUCUGUGAUCACAGAUGGGGACCUUGCAAUGCAGAGAGCAAUCAGGGUGGUCUGGCCAGACUCAAACCAUAGACUAUGUAUAUGGCACAUUCAGCAGAACAUUGUACGCCAUCUGCAUGAUGACGACGUAAAGGAGGAAUUUAGAUCUUUCAUUUAUGAUACUUCUUCCAUUGAAGAGCAUGAGAUAGAAUGGAUAUACUUCUUACAACGGAAUAAAGUAACCAGUGAGGAGUCUUGGCUGCAUCAGAUGUAUCAAAUGAGAAAGUUGUGGUGUGCUCCAUAUCUUGAGGGGCGUUGUUUCCUAGGAUUGAGCAGCAAUCAGAGGAGUGAGAGCUUGAACUCUGUGCUACAUACGCAUCUUGACGGUAAGAUGUCGUUGUUUGAAAUGCUAGAGCACUAUGAGCGUUGCCUUGCGUCGCGACGGAUUAACGAAGCUCUCCAUGACGACAAAGCCUUGAAGUCCGUUCCAUUUACAGAGGAAAAUGCUUCGCCGCUUGAGAAACACGCCGCAACAGUUUUCACACCUAGUGUCUUUAAGAUGGUCUUAUGGAGCAUAGAUGCUGUCAGCAAAUGUCAGAUCAGAGAGAUACUAGAUGGAUCAGAAGAUUCCACUUAUGUUGUGUCCAAGCAGGAAAGAAUGGAUAGAAAGUUUGGAGUGCGCAUUGAAGAGCAAGGAGGUCUUUUGCACAGGGUGAGUUGUUCUUGCCGUAAGCUGGAAUGCGCAGGCACAACAUGUUCCCACAUUUUUUACAUAUUGGGGAUUUUAAAACAAACAAUUCUGCCGAGUUGUUGCGUUCCCACUAGGUGGACUAUGAAUGCAAAAUGU
This 1713-nucleotide ribosomal RNA is filed under the name Triticum aestivum (bread wheat). RNAcentral describes it as "partial small subunit ribosomal RNA". The record is from RNAcentral. Lineage: Eukaryota; Viridiplantae; Streptophyta; Magnoliopsida; Poales; Poaceae.